This 1070-nucleotide long non-coding RNA is filed under the name Phascolarctos cinereus (koala). RNAcentral describes it as "lncRNA (ENSPCIG00000020277.2)". The record is from RNAcentral. Lineage: Eukaryota; Metazoa; Chordata; Mammalia; Diprotodontia; Phascolarctidae.
GGAUGGGUCACAGCCUGGGCAAAGACAAGGAAACUAAAUAGUCACCUGCACCCCUACUCCACCCCAGUUUCCCUGGCCCAGGAAUUCUACCUGAGCGUGAUAACAGAGCUAGGCAGGAAACCAAGCCUCCGAAGAGGAGGGGUGGAUUAACCCUAAUGGGUGUGAAGAGGUUCCAGGAGAAAUCCAGUCCUGGCCCAAACUCAAGAAUGUCUCAUCACAGCCCUAUGGAAGACGGCCAGCUGGAAACCUCGGGCCCUUGGGUGAUCCUGGCAACUGGAAGCCAAGCACAAAUUUCAUAUAUUACAAGCCCUGGAGACUGUUAUCACCUCAGGCCCUUUCCUCAGUGCACAUUGGCUCCAAACCUUCACCAGAUUGGCCCUGAAGCACGUGAUUCAGGUUACGAGCACCAGGGCCACCCCAAAUGCCCCCAGGCUGCAUUGACAAGGCUGGUGCAAGUAUGGGCUGGUGAGAGCUUCAGUGCCCUCAUCUCCACAGGAGAUAUAGCUGGGGAAGAGGAAGUGGAAGAGGAGGAAGAGGAGGACAAGGAGGAGGCAGAGGAGGAGGAAGAAGAAGAAGAUGAGGAGGAAGAAAGAGGAGGAGAAGGAGAAAGAGGAAGAGGCGGUGGAGGAGGAAGAGGAAAUACAUGUGCAGGGGCAGUUCCCACCUCCACGCCUGCAGCAUCCAUCCCCCUAUCUUCUAGUGAUCCCAUCUCAUGGCUCUCUCUGGGCCUGCUCCUCACUGGACAUUGCUCUGCUGGCCUCCCUAGGCCUGUUGGCCUGCCUGAGCCUUUUGGGCUUUGCUAGCCUCCCCAGGCUUCACUGAUAUUACUUUAUUAGUCUCAGCAUCUCUGCUGGACAUUGCUCCCUACUACCCUCUUCUGGGCUCAUCUCUUCAGGGCCAGCAAAAUCAUAUCAACUUUAGGUCAAGCUGACAGAUCCUGCCUAUACCCAGUUAACAAAAGUUAGCUAGAGCUCCCCCAGGAUAAGAUUAGGUCUUUCCUUUUUGACCCUUCCAUCUCCCUAAAUAUCAAAUCUUUAUAUUACAAAUAAAUUAUAUAACUCAGUGUUCCA